Molecule: unclassified non-coding RNA, 363 nt
Filed under: Haliotis rubra (blacklip abalone)
Lineage: Eukaryota; Metazoa; Mollusca; Gastropoda; Lepetellida; Haliotidae
Description: uncharacterized LOC124282668, transcript variant X1
Source: RNAcentral
AGAGAUCGAGGAGCAGCAUGCCGCCAUUUCUGAAAAAUGCCGUCUGCCACCUCAAGUCGUCUGCGGCAGCGAGCUGAACGAAGCGCCAGUUCGGUACGAAGUGAAAGGGCUUCUAUCUCACGAGCUACCAGUAAUAGAUAGUUCGGGUUGAGAGAUGAUUGCGAUUCGCUGACAGGGAUCGCACGCAUCGAUCGCUCAGGGGAGACAACCCACCCGGGAUAUACGUAGACAAGCGGAUCUGUCCUGGGUUCCGGUAUAAGGUGCGGUAUAACGGGAGAGACGAGGAGCUAUUUGACGGGGAGGCACGCACUCUGCUCAGCGUCGGGAUGGGCUAUGGCAAGCGGCUGACCUUUGAAGGAGAGA